RNAcentral lists this ribosomal RNA (447 nucleotides) under uncultured Rhodoferax sp. RNAcentral describes it as "bacterial SSU rRNA". It matches the Rfam family "Bacterial small subunit ribosomal RNA", at positions 933 to 1382 of the family's 1533-position model. Lineage: Bacteria; Pseudomonadati; Pseudomonadota; Betaproteobacteria; Burkholderiales; Comamonadaceae. The record is from RNAcentral.
UGGAUGAUGUGGAUAAUUCGAUGCAACGCGAAGAACCUUACUACCCUUGACAUGUCCGGAACUUGCCAGAGAUGGCUUGGUGCCCGAAAGGGAAUCGGAACACAGGUGCUGCAUGGUUGUCGUCAGCUCGUGUCGUGAGAUGUUGGGUUAAGUCCCGCAACGAGCGCAACCCUUGUCAUUAGUUGCUACAUUCAGUUGGGCACUCUAAUGAGACUGCCGGUGACAAGCCGGAGGAAGGUGGGGAUGACGUCAAGUCCUCAUGGCCCUUAUAGGUGGGGCUACACACGUCAUACAAUGGCUGGUACAAAGGGUUGCCAACCCGCGAGGGGGAGCCAAUCCCAUAAAGCCAGUCGUAGUCCGGAUCGUAGUCUGCAACUCGACUACGUGAAGUCGGAAUCGCUAGUAAUCGCAGAUCAGCAUGCUGCGGUGAAUACGUUCCCGGGUCUU